AGCGGCAGACGGGUGAGUAACACGUAUCUAACCUUCCCCUUACUUGGGCAUAGCCUCUGGAAACGGAGAUUAAUUUCCGAUGUGGUGUACAUUUCGCAUGUUUUGCGCACCAAAGAUUUAUCGGUAAGGGAUGGGGAUGCGCUCCAUUAGGUUGUAGGUAGGGUAAUGGCCUACCUAGCCUAUGAUGGAUAGGGGUUCUGAGAGGAAGGUCCCCCACAUUGGAACUGCGACACGGUCCAAACUCC
This 245-nucleotide ribosomal RNA is filed under the name uncultured bacterium. RNAcentral's name for it is "partial 16S ribosomal RNA". It matches the Rfam family "Bacterial small subunit ribosomal RNA", at positions 94 to 339 of the family's 1533-position model. The record is from RNAcentral.